Molecule: ribosomal RNA, 838 nt
Filed under: Streptomyces sp.
Lineage: Bacteria; Bacillati; Actinomycetota; Actinomycetes; Kitasatosporales; Streptomycetaceae
Description: bacterial SSU rRNA
Rfam family: Bacterial small subunit ribosomal RNA
Source: RNAcentral
CCUGGGUGAUUAGUGGCGACGGGUGAGUAACACGUGGGCAAUCUGCCCUGCACUCUGGGACAAGCCCUGGAAACGGGGUCUAAUACCGGAUAUGACGCACGGCCGCAUGGUCUGUGCGUGGAAAGCUCCGGCGGUGCAGGAUGAGCCCGCGGCCUAUCAGCUAGUUGGUGGGGUGAAGGCCUACCAAGGCGACGACGGGUAGCCGGCCUGAGAGGGCGACCGGCCACACUGGGACUGAGACACGGCCCAGACUCCUACGGGAGGCAGCAGUGGGGAAUAUUGCACAAUGGGCGAAAGCCUGAUGCAGCGACGCCGCGUGAGGGAUGAAUGCCUUCGGGUUGUAAACCUCUUUCAGCAGGGAAGAAGCGAGAGUGACGUUACCUGCAGAAGAAGCACCGGCUAACUACGUGCCAGCAGCCGCGGUAAUACGUAGGGUGCGAGCGUUGUCCGGAAUUAUUGGGCGUAAAGAGCUCGUAGGCGGCUUGUCACGUCGGAUGUGAAAGCUCGGGGCUUAACCCCGGGUCUGCAUUCGAUACGGGCAGGCUAGAGUUCGGUAGGGGAGAUCGGAAUUCCUGGUGUAGCGGUGAAAUGCGCAGAUAUCAGGAGGAACACCGGUGGCGAAGGCGGAUCUCUGGGCCGAUACUGACGCUGAGGAGCGAAAGCAUGGGGAGCGAACAGGAUUAGAUACCCUGGUAGUCCAUGCCGUAAACGUUGGGAACUAGGUGUGGGCGACAUUCCACGUCGUCCGUGCCGCAGCUAACGCAUUAAGUUCCCCGCCUGGGGAGUACGGCCGCAAGGCUAAAACUCAAAGGAAUUUGACGGGGGCCCGCACAAGCGC